RNAcentral lists this non-coding RNA (46 nucleotides) under Schistosoma margrebowiei. Lineage: Eukaryota; Metazoa; Platyhelminthes; Trematoda; Strigeidida; Schistosomatidae. The record is from RNAcentral.
GCACUACUGAGGAGCCCCAUACUAGGGCGAAACGGCUGUCCAGUGC